ACUUGUGGCCAAACCUCUUUGUCAAAGCCUGAUCUCUCUUCAGAUCUCAGAAGUUAAGCAAGGCUGGGUCUGGUUAGUACUUGAAUGGGAGACCGCUAGGAAUAUCAGGUGCGACAGUG
RNAcentral lists this ribosomal RNA (119 nucleotides) under Periophthalmus magnuspinnatus. Lineage: Eukaryota; Metazoa; Chordata; Actinopteri; Gobiiformes; Gobiidae. The record is from RNAcentral.